UACGGAGGGUGCGAGCGUUGUUCGGAAUCACUGGGCGUAAAGCGCGUGUAGGCGGCCUGCUAAGUCUGAUGUGAAAGCCCGGGGCUCACCCCCGGAAGUGCAUUGGAAACUAGCGGGCUGGAGUCUCGGAGAGGAAGGUGGAAUGCUUGGUGUAGAGGUGAAAUUCGUAGAUAUCAAGCAGAACACCUGCGGCGAAGGCGGCCUUCUGGACGAUGACUGACGCUGAGACGCGAAAGCGUGGGGAGCAAACAGG
RNAcentral lists this ribosomal RNA (253 nucleotides) under uncultured bacterium. RNAcentral describes it as "partial 16S ribosomal RNA". It matches the Rfam family "Bacterial small subunit ribosomal RNA", at positions 524 to 776 of the family's 1533-position model. The record is from RNAcentral.